This 1405-nucleotide ribosomal RNA is filed under the name metagenome. RNAcentral describes it as "bacterial LSU rRNA". It matches the Rfam family "Bacterial large subunit ribosomal RNA", at positions 1518 to 2925 of the family's 2925-position model. The record is from RNAcentral.
UGUGAGGCUGAUGUGUAGGCAAAUCCGCACAUCGUUUAGGCUGGGCUGUGAUGGGGAGCGAAAAUUGCAGUAGCGAAGCUCAUGAGUUCAGGCUGCCAAGAAAAGCCUCUAGCCAGGUGAAGGUGCCCGUACCGCAAACCGACACAGGUAGGCGAGCAGAGUAUGCUAAGGCGCUCGGAAGAACUCUCGUUAAGGAACUCGGCAAAAUGACCCCGUAACUUCGGGAGAAGGGGUGCCUCGGUAGGGUGAAUAGCCCGAGGGGGCCGCAGUGAAAAGGCCCAAGCGACUGUUUAGCAAAAACACAGGUCUGUGCGAAGCCGUAAGGCGAAGUAUACGGGCUGACGCCUGCCCGGUGCUGGAAGGUUAAGGGGAGUGGUUAGCCGUAAGGCGAAGCUAUGAACCGAAGCCCCAGUAAACGGCGGCCGUAACUAUAACGGUCCUAAGGUAGCGAAAUUCCUUGUCAGGUAAGUUCUGACCCGCACGAAUGGCGUAACGACUUGGGCGCUGUCUCAACGAGAGAUCCGGUGAAAUUUUAAUACCUGUGAAGAUGCAGGUUACCCGCGACAAGACGGAAAGACCCCAUGGAGCUUUACUGCAGCUUGAUAUUGGACUUUGGUACGAUCUGUACAGGAUAGGUGGGAGCCUUGGAAACCGGAGCGCCAGCUUCGGCGGAGGCAUCGUUGGGAUACCACCCUGAUCGUAUCGGAGUUCUAACCUGGUACCGUGAUCCGGUACAGGGACCGUGUCAGGUGGGCAGUUUGACUGGGGCGGUCGCCUCCUAAAAUGUAACGGAGGCGCCCAAAGGUUCCCUCAGAAUGGUUGGGAAUCAUUCGUAGCGUGCAAAGGCAUAAGGGAGCUUGACUGCGAGACCUACAAGUCGAGCAGGGACGAAAGUCGGGCUUAGUGAUCCGGUGGUACCGCAUGGAAGGGCCAUCGCUCAACGGAUAAAAGCUACCCUGGGGAUAACAGGCUUAUCUCCCCCAAGAGUCCACAUCGACGGGGAGGUUUGGCACCUCGAUGUCGGCUCAUCGCAUCCUGGGGCUGAAGUAGGUCCCAAGGGUUGGGCUGUUCGCCCAUUAAAGCGGUACGCGAGCUGGGUUCAGAACGUCGUGAGACAGUUCGGUCCCUAUCUGUCGUGGGCGUAGGAAAUUUGAGAGGAGCUGUCCUUAGUACGAGAGGACCGGGAUGGACGCACCGCUGGUGUACCAGUUGUUCCGCCAGGAGCAUAGCUGGGUAGCUACGUGCGGACGGGAUAAGCGCUGAAAGCAUCUAAGCGUGAAGCCCCCCUCAAGAUGAGAUUUCCCAGUAUGUAAGACCCCUGGAAGACGACCAGGUUGAUAGGUUCGAGGUGGAAGCGCAGCAAUGCGUGGAGCUGACGAAUACUAAUCGGUCGAGGGCUUAUCCA